UACGUAGGGGGCAAGCGUUGUCCGGAUUUAUUGGGCGUAAAGAGCGUGUAGGCGGCCAGAUAGGUCCGUUGUGAAAACUCGAGGCUCAACCUCGAGACGCCGAUGGAAACCAUUUGGCUAGAGUCCGGAAGAGGAGAGUGGAAUUCCUGGUGUAGCGGUGAAAUGCGCAGAUAUCAGGAAGAACACCCGUGGCGAAGGCGGCUCUCUGGGCCGAUACUGACGCUGAGGAGCAAAAGCGUGGGGAGCGAACAGG
This 253-nucleotide ribosomal RNA is filed under the name uncultured bacterium. Its description in RNAcentral is "partial 16S ribosomal RNA". It matches the Rfam family "Bacterial small subunit ribosomal RNA", at positions 524 to 776 of the family's 1533-position model. The record is from RNAcentral.